RNAcentral lists this ribosomal RNA (450 nucleotides) under uncultured bacterium. Its description in RNAcentral is "bacterial SSU rRNA". It matches the Rfam family "Bacterial small subunit ribosomal RNA", at positions 354 to 796 of the family's 1533-position model. The record is from RNAcentral.
GUGGGGAAUUUUGGACAAUGGGCGCAAGCCUGAUCCAGCAAUGCCGCGUGCAGGAAGAAGGCCUUCGGGUUGUAAACUGCUUUUGUACGGAACGAAACGGUCCGGGUUAAUACCCUGGGCUAAUGACGGUACCGUAAGAAUAAGCACCGGCUAACUACGUGCCAGCAGCCGCGGUAAUACGUAGGGUGCAAGCGUUAAUCGGAAUUACUGGGCGUAAAGCGUGCGCAGGCGGUUUUGUAAGACAGGCGUGAAAUCCCCGGGCUCAACCUGGGAAUUGCGCUUGUGACUGCAAGGCUGGAGGGCGGCAGAGGGGGAUGGAAUUCCGCGUGUAGCAGUGAAAUGCGUAGAUAUGCGGAGGAACACCGAUGGCGAAGGCAAUCCCCUGGGCCUGCACUGACGCUCAUGCACGAAAGCGUGGGGAGCAAACAGGAUUAGAUACCCCAGUAGUCC